GUAAGAUUAGUAUAAUUUAUUAUUUUAGACCAAGGAUCUAAGGAUUUAUUCUUACU
This 56-nucleotide transfer RNA is filed under the name Strongyloides procyonis. RNAcentral's name for it is "tRNA-Leu". Lineage: Eukaryota; Metazoa; Nematoda; Chromadorea; Rhabditida; Strongyloididae. The record is from RNAcentral.